Molecule: ribosomal RNA, 402 nt
Filed under: uncultured bacterium
Lineage: Bacteria
Description: bacterial SSU rRNA
Rfam family: Bacterial small subunit ribosomal RNA
Source: RNAcentral
UGGGGAAUAUUGCACAAUGGGCGAAAGCCUGAUGCAGCAACGCCGCGUGAGUGAUGAAGGCCUUCGGGUUGUAAAGCUCUGUCUUCUGGGACGAUAAUGACGGUACCAGAGGAGGAAGCCACGGCUAACUACGUGCCAGCAGCCGCGGUAAUACGUAGGUGGCAAGCGUUGUCCGGAUUUACUGGGCGUAAAGGAUGCGUAGGCGGAUACUUAAGUCAGAUGUGAAAAUCCCGGGCUUAACUUGGGAACUGCAUUUGAAACUGGGUAUCUAGAGUGCGGGAGAGGAAAGUGGAAUUCCUAGUGUAGCGGUGAAAUGCGUAGAGAUUAGGAAGAGCACCAGUGGCGAAGGCGACUUUCUGGACCGUAACUGACGCUGAGGCAUGAAAGCGUGGGGAGCAAACA